AGAGUUUGAUCCUGGCUCAGAACUAACGCUGGCGGCGUGCCUAACACAUGCAAGUCGAACGAGAAAAUCCUGGCUUGCCGGGAUGAGUAAAGUGGCGAACGGGUGAGUAGUACGUGGGUAACCUGCCUUUUAGUUAGGGAUAACACUACGAAAGUGGUGCUAAUACCCAAUAAGCUUACGGUUUAUCUAAGAACAGUAAGAAAAGGUGGCCUCUGUUUCAUGCUAUCGCUAAAAGAUGGGCCCGCGCACCAUUAGCUUGUUGGCAGGGUAACGGCCUACCAAGGCUACGAUGGUUAGCUGGCCUGAGAGGGUGGUCAGCCACACUGGAACUGAGACACGGUCCAGACUCCUACGGGAGGCAGCAGUGAGGAAUAUUGCGCAAUGGGGGAAACCCUGACGCAGCAACGCCGUGUGAGUGAUGAAGGUCUUCGGAUCGUAAAGCUCUGUCAGAUGGGAAGAAUAGAAGCAGGGAGAAUAUUUCUGUUUCAUGACGGUACCAUCAGAGGAAGCACCGGCUAACUCCGUGCCAGCAGCCGCGGUAAUACGGAGGGUGCAAGCGUUGUUCGGAAUUACUGGGCGUAAAGGGCAUGUAGGCGGGUUCAUGGGUCAGAUGUGAAAUCCCUCAGCUCAACUGAGGAAGUGCAUCUGAAACUAUGUAUCUUGAGUGCGAGAUGGGAAAGUGGAAUUCCCAGUGUAGAGGUGAAAUUCAUAGAUAUUGGGAAGAAUACCGGUGGCGAAGGCGGCUUUCUGGCUCGAUACUGACGCUGAGAUGCGAAAGCGUGGGGAGCAAACAGGAUUAGAUACCCUGGUAGUCCACGCAGUAAACGAUGUGCACUAGGUGUUGGAGGUAAUUAAACUUUCAGUGCCAAAGCUAACGCAUUAAGUGCACCGCCUGGGGAUUACGGUCGCAAGGCUAAAACUCAAAGGAAUUGACGGGGGCCCGCACAAGCGGUGGAGUAUGUGGUUUAAUUCGGCGCAACGCGAAAAACCUUACCUGGGUUUGACAUCCCGGUCGUAUUCUCUGGAAACAGAGAAGUCAGUUCGGCUGGACCGGUGACAGGUGCUGCAUGGCUGUCGACAGCUCGUGUCGUGAGAUGUUGGGUUAAGUCCCGCAACGAGCGCAACCCCUACCAUUAGUUGCCAUCAUUCAGUGGGAACUCUAAUGGACCGCUCGUUACGUGAGGAGGGGGGAUGACGUCAGUCCUCAUGCCCUUAUGCCCGGCUCCACGUACUACAUGUCGAUAAGGGUCGCAGCUGGAAGUAGCUAUCCAAAGUCGUCCGUCGAUGAUCUGCACCAUCCUGAGUCGAUCCUAUAUCGCGACACUGUGGGUAACGUCUCGGCUGACACGCCGUCACCCGAGUAUGGUCUGAAACAUGGUAAUCGUUACGAGCAAUCCGUAUAGCAAUGGUGACGUAACAGUACGUACUCAUGAUCGCGCCGCGAUGCACC
This 1450-nucleotide ribosomal RNA is filed under the name uncultured bacterium. RNAcentral describes it as "partial 16S ribosomal RNA". It matches the Rfam family "Bacterial small subunit ribosomal RNA", at positions 8 to 1353 of the family's 1533-position model. The record is from RNAcentral.